UUUURUGGAGAGUUUGAUCCUGGCUCAGGAUGAACGCUGGCGGCGUGCCUAAUACAUGCAAGUCGAGCGAACGGACGAGAAGCUUGCUUCUCUGAUGUUAGCGGCGGACGGGUGAGUAACACGUGGAUAACCUACCUAUAAGACUGGGAUAACUUCGGGAAACCGGAGCUAAUACCGGAUAAUAUUUUGAACCGCAUGGUUCAAAAGURAAAGACGGUCUUGCUGUCACU
RNAcentral lists this ribosomal RNA (230 nucleotides) under Staphylococcus aureus. RNAcentral describes it as "partial 16S ribosomal RNA". It matches the Rfam family "Bacterial small subunit ribosomal RNA", at positions 1 to 219 of the family's 1533-position model. The record is from RNAcentral. Lineage: Bacteria; Bacillati; Bacillota; Bacilli; Caryophanales; Staphylococcaceae.